This 20-nucleotide small nuclear RNA is filed under the name Arabidopsis thaliana (thale cress). RNAcentral describes it as "snRNA_17463". The record is from RNAcentral. Lineage: Eukaryota; Viridiplantae; Streptophyta; Magnoliopsida; Brassicales; Brassicaceae.
AUCUGGGCUCUUCACCCAGA